UGCAGAGGGGGCAAGCGUUGUUCGGAAUUACUGGGCGUAAAGGGCGCGUAGGCGGCCCGCUAAGUCGAACGUGAAAUCCCCAGGCUCAACCUGGGAACUGCGUCCGAUACUGGCAGGCUUGAAUCCGGGAGAGGGAUGUGGAAUUCCAGGUGUAGCGGUGAAAUGCGUAGAUAUCUGGAGGAACACCGGUGGCGAAGGCGGCAUCCUGGACCGGUAUUGACGCUGAGGCGCGAAAGCUAGGGGAGCAAACGGG
RNAcentral lists this ribosomal RNA (253 nucleotides) under uncultured bacterium. RNAcentral's name for it is "partial 16S ribosomal RNA". It matches the Rfam family "Bacterial small subunit ribosomal RNA", at positions 524 to 776 of the family's 1533-position model. The record is from RNAcentral.